Molecule: ribosomal RNA, 469 nt
Filed under: uncultured bacterium
Lineage: Bacteria
Description: partial 16S ribosomal RNA
Rfam family: Bacterial small subunit ribosomal RNA
Source: RNAcentral
GACGAACGCUGGCGGCGUGCUUAACACAUGCAAGUCGAACGGAAAGGCCCUGCUUGCAGGGUGCUCGAGUGGCGAACGGGUGAGUAACACGUGGGUGAUCUGCCCCUUACUUUGGGAUAAGCCUGGGAAACUGGGUCUAAUACUGGAUAGGACCAUGCUGUAGGUGGUGUGGUGGAAAGAUUAGUUUCGGUAAGGGAUGAGAUCGCGGCCUAUCAGCUUGUUGGUGGGGUAAUGGCCUACCAAGGCGUCGACGGGUAGCCGGCCUGAGAGGGUGGAAGGCCACAUUGGGACUGAGAUACGGCCCAGACGCCUACGGGAGGCAGCAGUGGGGAAGAGUGGAAAAUGGGCGCAAGCCUGAUGCAGCGACGCCGCGUGGGGGAUGACGGCCUUCGGGUUGUAAACUCCUUUCGGCCAUGACGAAGCCCUUGUGGUGACGGUAGUGGUAGAAGAAGCACCGGCUAACUACGUG